GGAGUUGGUAGCUCAGUGGUAGAGUGGUCCUUCGUACGUAUGAUGUCCUGGGUUCAAUCGCCAGCAUCUCCC
Non-coding RNA from Dallia pectoralis (Alaska blackfish), 72 nucleotides. The record is from the annotation of a GenBank genome assembly. Lineage: Eukaryota; Metazoa; Chordata; Actinopteri; Esociformes; Umbridae.